Molecule: long non-coding RNA, 906 nt
Organism: Episyrphus balteatus (marmalade hoverfly)
Lineage: Eukaryota; Metazoa; Arthropoda; Insecta; Diptera; Syrphidae
Exons: 2
Source: RefSeq, a predicted model, not a curated record
UUUAGAACGCACCCUACAAUCCACAUUUGUUUCCAAAACAAAAUUGAAAAGCUCUCCCUUCGAAGCUCCCUCGAAAGCUUCCAUUCUAUGGUCUGGCUGUCAAUUCUGUCUAAAUUCUGUCAAUCUGUUAUUUAACAGUCAACCGAACUUUUAGAACGCACCCUACAAUCCAAAAAACAAAAUUGAAAGAGCUUUCUUUUAAAAGCUCCCUCCCCCUUCCAAGACAAAAAUUUUCCAAUUGUACCCAAUUUUACACUUCACACCUUUUAUAAUUCACAGAUUUUUUUUCGAGCCCGGACGAAUCAGAGUCAGAAUUGACGCUCCACCUGAUAGGGGUCUGUUGGGCAGUUAGAUAAAUCUCAUCUGUUUAGGGAAAUGAAAUUACGUUGAUUAUAUCUGUUAUGAGUAUGUUAGAAAGUAACAGACGGGUAGAAAAUGUCCGGAGAUUAGUAAAUUUGGUAUUAAUGAGUAUUGGUAAAAUUAAAUGGUGAGAUUUAGAUAAUUGCGAUCCCAUUUUUCUCCAAAUCUGCAUAACUGAAGACUACUUGUUCAAAUCUCAGGCUGAAAAGAAUAUUUUUUUUUAAUUUGACUUUUUUUAUAUUUUUUAUUUUUUUCUUUAUGCUGUCAAUUUUUGCAAUGUUUUUUUGUUUUUCAAUUUAAGCCAAAAUUUAUGAAUAUGGUGUGAUGAUAUGGAAAAGUUUAAAAAUGUGUAUGAGAAGCAAAAAACGUUAAAUAUGAAAUUUUCGUGUUUCUGCCUGGGGUGAAGUCGUUAAAAAUUCAUUUCUUAGCCAAUUUUCAACCGAUUUUCUUGAAAAAUUUCAAGUACAUGCCUAAAAUCAAAUUGGAAAGGAUAAUAAUUGAAAAUUGACGACGCAAGAAUGAUUGCAAUGAGAGCACCGUGAAAUA